This 240-nucleotide unclassified non-coding RNA is filed under the name soil metagenome. RNAcentral describes it as "partial contains 5.8S ribosomal RNA, internal transcribed spacer 2, and large subunit ribosomal RNA". The record is from RNAcentral.
AACCUUAUGGACCUGCGGGCGUAUACCUGCGGAAGGAUCAUUAACAAGAUCUAAAUGCUUUUUAGCCUUUGCAGGCUACAAAAGCUAUUCAACCAAAACCAUUUUCGCUUCGGUAGCAGGGUUUUAUAGUUUGAUGAGAAUCAUUCUACUUGCUUGUAAGCCUACCGGCAGCACCAAACCAAAACUUCUCGUUGAAUAUUGUCUGAAUAAUCAAUUUUCGAAUGAAAUUAAAACUUUCAG